RNAcentral lists this unclassified non-coding RNA (354 nucleotides) under soil metagenome. RNAcentral's name for it is "partial contains 5.8S ribosomal RNA, internal transcribed spacer 2, and large subunit ribosomal RNA". The stretch from base 1 to 120 matches the Rfam family "5.8S ribosomal RNA", at positions 35 to 154 of the family's 154-position model. The record is from RNAcentral.
GAUGAAGAACGCAGCGAAAUGCGAUAAGUAGUGUGAAUUGCAGAAUUCAGUGAAUCAUCGAAUCUUUGAACGCACAUUGCGCCCACUAGUAUUCUGGUGGGCAUGCCUGUUCGAGCGUCAUUUCAACCCUCAAGCCUUAGUUGCUUGGUGUUGGGAGCUUAUCUUGCCGAAAGGCGGACAACUCCUUAAAACUAUUGGCGGAGUCGCGGUGACCCCAAGCGUAGUAAAUCUUUUUUUUCUCGCUUUAGGUGUUAACGCUGGCUUUCUAGCCGUUAAACCCUCUAAAUUUUUAGUGGUUGACCUCGGAUCAGGUAGGACUACCCGCUGAACUUAAGCAUAUCAAUAAGCGGAGGA